Molecule: ribosomal RNA, 200 nt
Filed under: uncultured bacterium
Lineage: Bacteria
Description: partial 16S ribosomal RNA
Rfam family: Bacterial small subunit ribosomal RNA
Source: RNAcentral
UACAGAGACUGCAAGCGUUAUUCGGAUUCACUGGGCGUAAAGGGUGCGCAGGUGGCCAAGUGUGUCAGGUGUGAAAUCCCGGGGCUUAACCCCGGAACUGCGCCUGAAACUGCAUGGCUAGAGCAUUGGAGAGGGAAGUGGAAUUCACGGUGUAGCAGUGAAAUGCGUAGAUAUCGUGAGGAACACCAGAGGCGAAGGCG